GCCAGCAGCCGCGGUAACACCGGCGGCCCGAGUGGUGAUCGUGAUUAUUGGGUCUAAAGGGUCCGUAGCCGGUUUGGUCAGUCCUCCGGGAAAUCUGAUAGCUCAACUAUUAGGCUUUCGGGGGAUACUGCCAGACUUGGAACCGGGAGAGGUAAGAGGUACUACAGGGGUAGGAGUGAAAUCUUGUAAUCCCUGUGGGACCACCUGUGGCGAAGGCGUCUUACCAGAACGGGUUCGACGGUGAGGGACGAAAGCUGGGGGGCACGAACCGGAUUAGAUACCCGGGUAGUCCCAGCCGUAAACGAUGCUCGCUAGGUGUCAGGCAUGGCGCGACCGUGUCUGGUGCCGCAGGGAAGCCGUGAAGCGAGCCACCUGGGAAGUACGGCCGCAAGGCUGAAACUUAAAGGAAUUGGCGGGGGAGCACAACAACGGGUGGAGCCCUGCGGUUUAAUUGGACUCAACGCCGGACAACUCACCGGGGGCGACAGCAAUAUGUAGGCCAAGCUGAAGACUUUGCCUGAAUCGCUGAGAAGUGGUGCAUGG
Molecule: ribosomal RNA, 543 nt
Filed under: uncultured archaeon
Lineage: Archaea
Description: bacterial SSU rRNA
Rfam family: Archaeal small subunit ribosomal RNA
Source: RNAcentral